This is a long non-coding RNA of Malaclemys terrapin pileata, 549 nucleotides long. RefSeq lists it as uncharacterized. NCBI's taxonomy places the organism in Eukaryota, Metazoa, Chordata, Testudines, Emydidae. The transcript has 3 exons. The record is from RefSeq and is a predicted model, not a curated record.
CCAGGCUCAGCUUGGAUUUUACAUUGAACGAGGAGGUUUCUCAUCUCUUCUGGCCUGUGCAGAGGGGAGUAAAUGGGGCAGAAAUGCCACUGAAUCGGGCAAGGUGUGCUUCUCCCAGCCUUGAGACGCUGCAGAAGUCCCUCCAUGCAAGAUCCGUGGGGUUGAGGCUCCAUGGGUGUGAAGGGUGGUUGAGGGAUGUGUCACACUAUUCUCUGCAGAGUGCAGCCUGUGCAGGAACCACUCCUGGUGGAGUGGACAGCUCUGUACUGCCCCCGGAGAGCACAAUAAGAUCUGACCUGCCUGUUGAGAUUGUAAACUCUUUAGGGCAGCAAUUGUCUCUCACCAUGUGUCUGUGCCGCACCCAGCACAAUGGGGCCACCAACAGGGAGAACAGAAGAGAAGAGAAGAGAAGAGGAGCAUUUGGAGUCAUCUGUUUUCUGUGGCGUGAGCUGUUCUAGCCUUGGUCUCACCCCAAAGAUUAUUGGGGUGUUUUGUGCAUGUGGAAAGUUUCUUCAGCCGCUUUCAACUUAUGCCUCCCAAUAAAAGUUU